CCCUUAGAUGUCCGGGGCUGCACGCGCGCUACACUGAAGGAAUCAGCGUGCUAGAAAACCUUGUUUGACAUGGCUAGGUAACCCGUUGAAAAUCUUUCGUGAUUGGGAUCGGGACUUGCAAAUGUGUCCCUUGAACGAGGAAUUCCCAGUAAGUGCGGGUCAUAAGCUCGCGCUGAUUACGUCCCUGCCCUUUGUACACACCGCCCGUCGCUCCUACCGAUUGAAUGCUCAGGUGAGCCAUUCGGACUUUCAUCAUGCUGGUUUCCAGUUUUGAUGAAGGAAAGUCUUGCGAACCUUAUCAUUUAGAGGAAGGAGAAGUCGUAACA
RNAcentral lists this ribosomal RNA (326 nucleotides) under uncultured eukaryote. Its description in RNAcentral is "partial 18S ribosomal RNA". It matches the Rfam family "Eukaryotic small subunit ribosomal RNA", at positions 1470 to 1796 of the family's 1831-position model. The record is from RNAcentral.